GACGAACGCUGGCGGCGUGCCUAAUACAUGCAAGUAGAACGCUGAAGGAGGAGCUUGCUUCUCUGGAUGAGUUGCGAACGGGUGAGUAACGCGUAUGUAACCUGCCUGGUAGCGGGGGAUAACUAUUGGAAACGAUAGCUAAUACCGCAUAAGAUUAGAUGUUGCAUGACAUUUGCUUAAAAGUUGCAAUUUCUUCACUACCAGUUGGCCCUUUGUUGUAUUAGCUAGUUGGUGGGGUAACGGCUCACCAAGGCGACGAUACAUAGUCGACCUGAGAGGGUGAUCGGCCAAACUGGGAAUGAGACAAGGCACAGACUCCUACAGGAGGGAGCAGGAGGGGAACUUGGGCAAUGGAGGGAAGACUGAACGAGCAAAGCCGCGUGAGUGAAGAAGGUUUUCGGAUCGUAAAGCUCUGUUGUAAGGGAAGAAAGAGUGUGAGAGUGGAAAGUUCACACUGUGACGGUAUCUUACCAGAAAGGGACGGCUAACUACGUG
This 495-nucleotide ribosomal RNA is filed under the name uncultured bacterium. RNAcentral's name for it is "partial 16S ribosomal RNA". It matches the Rfam family "Bacterial small subunit ribosomal RNA", at positions 28 to 507 of the family's 1533-position model. The record is from RNAcentral.